GAUGAAGAACGUAGCGAAAUGCGAUACUUGGUGUGAAUUGCAGAAUCCCGUGAACCAUCGAGUCUUUGAACGCAAGUUGCGCCCGAAGCCAUUAGGCCGAGGGCACGCCUGCCUGGGCGUCACACGUCGUUGCCCCCCCAUCUACUCCUUCGGGAUUGCGGGGGGCGGAUGAUGGCCUCCCGUGCGCCUCGUCGCGCGGUUGGCAUAAAUGCCAAGUCCUCGGCGACGCACGCCACGACAAUCGGUGGUUGCGAAACCUCGGUUGCCCGUCGUGUGCGGUCGUCGCGCAUCNNNGGCUCGAAAAAAUUGCCGGGCUCCGGCUCGGCUUUCAACGCGACCCCAGGUCAGGCGGGGUUACCCGCUGAAUUUAAGCAUAUCAAUAAGCGGAGGA
This 391-nucleotide unclassified non-coding RNA is filed under the name soil metagenome. Its description in RNAcentral is "partial contains 5.8S ribosomal RNA, internal transcribed spacer 2, and large subunit ribosomal RNA". The stretch from base 1 to 122 matches the Rfam family "5.8S ribosomal RNA", at positions 35 to 154 of the family's 154-position model. The record is from RNAcentral.